Molecule: long non-coding RNA, 564 nt
Filed under: Ictidomys tridecemlineatus (thirteen-lined ground squirrel)
Lineage: Eukaryota; Metazoa; Chordata; Mammalia; Rodentia; Sciuridae
Description: lncRNA (ENSSTOG00000031695.1)
Source: RNAcentral
UGACACUGGUGAUGAGACUCUGCACAUUAAAACAGCAUGGAGAGAGGAGAGGAAUGACGGUGACCAGUCAGAGGCAUUCCAUUCUACCAGUCAGAAAUGCAGAAGAGCAUUGCACAAUUCAAACGGCAAAGUUAAAAAUAUGGCAAUCCGAAGAGAAUUGGCCGACGGAGUGGAGUGAGUCCUGGGAGCUGUUUUGGAUCAACUCUCUAAGAAGGUCAGGUGGUGAAGAACCGGGUGAAAACAUCGCUGAGCAUUGAUCUGAGAUGGGUAAAGUAUUGCUGAUGGGGUGAAGUAAGUGGGGUGGGCAUGGUGGUGAGGGAACAGUACUUCCUGAGCCCCACAAGCGAUGCAGGUUUAACGGCCUCUGGGGCCAUACCCUGAGUGGCCUGGAGAAGCCAGUUGGCUCAGGCUCCACCCACGGGUGCUUGUUUGUCCUCCAGUUGUUGGCUGUUUGUUCAUUCCACAAAUAGUUAUUCCACCUACUGAAUGAGGCACUGUCACAGAUUCUGGGAGAAGAGGUGAGCAAAAAGUAGGCCAAAAUCCUGCUCUCAUGGAGCUUAUAUU